GUGUCAGCAGCCGCGGUAAUACGUAGGGGGCGAACGUUGCUCGGAAUUACUGGGCGUAAAGGGUGUGUAGGUGGCUGAGCAAGUCGAAGAUGAAAUCCCAGGGCUCAACCCUGGAAUUGUCUUUGAUACUGUUCAGCUUGAGGGUGGUCGAGGAAGACGGAAUUCCCGGUGGAGCGGUGAAAUGCGUAGAUAUCGGGAGGAACACCGGAGGCGAAGGCGGCCUCCUGGGCCACGACUGACGCUGAGGAGCGAAAGCUGGGGGAGCGAACAGGAUUAGAUACCCUGGUAGUCCCAGCCGUAAACGAUGGGCACUAGGUGUGGGGGGUUACCAACUCCCUCCGUGCCGAAGCUAACGCAUUAAGUGCCCCGCCUGGGGAGUACGGCCGCAAGGUUAAAACUCAAAUGAAUUGACGGGG
Molecule: ribosomal RNA, 416 nt
Filed under: uncultured prokaryote
Description: bacterial SSU rRNA
Rfam family: Bacterial small subunit ribosomal RNA
Source: RNAcentral